RNAcentral lists this long non-coding RNA (289 nucleotides) under Ananas comosus (pineapple). RNAcentral describes it as "long non-coding RNA (ACOM_LNC042903)". The record is from RNAcentral. Lineage: Eukaryota; Viridiplantae; Streptophyta; Magnoliopsida; Poales; Bromeliaceae.
AGGCGGCGGAGGUGGAGGAGGAUGACAAAGAGAACGGCGGAGGAGGAGGACGACGAGAGCGGCGAAGGAGGAGGACGAUGAGAGCGGCGGAGGAGGACGACGAGAGCGACGAGAGGGGUGGUGUUGGAGGUGGAGGUCUGGGAGGUGUGGUCUGAGAGGAGAUGAGGCGAGGUGGAGGCGGAGGAGUCGGCGAUGUGGCGGCGGAGGAGCCGGCGAUUAAGUUGGGAGAGAAAGAGGAUAACUUAAGGGAUUAGCAUAAUAAGGUAGGGGUAAAAUAGGUAUUUUAUAU